RNAcentral lists this ribosomal RNA (967 nucleotides) under Brettanomyces bruxellensis. Its description in RNAcentral is "partial small subunit ribosomal RNA". It matches the Rfam family "Bacterial small subunit ribosomal RNA", at positions 506 to 1505 of the family's 1533-position model. The record is from RNAcentral. Lineage: Eukaryota; Fungi; Ascomycota; Pichiomycetes; Pichiales; Pichiaceae.
UGCCAGCCAGUCGCGGUAAUACUGAGGAGGCGAACGUUAAUCAUUAAUGGCUUAAAGGAUCCGUAGAACGAAAAAAAAGAAUAUAGAGUUAAAAGAAAUAAAUAAUGUAUAAUUAUAAUGAGAGAUGAAAUGCAAUGAAAAUAAUUAGACAGCUAAAACUGAAGAGAAUAUUUAUAAUUUAACUGACGUUGAGGGAUGAAAGCAUAAGUAAUAAACCGGAUUAGAUACCCGAGUAAUUUAUGCUGUAAACGAUGAAUACUAAUAUAAAAAAAAUAUAAAAAAAGCGAAAGUAAAGUAUUCCGCCAGGUGAGUAUAUUCGCAAGAAUGAAAUCCAAGACAAUAGACGGUUACAGGUGUAGGCAGUGGAGCAUGUUAUUUAAUUCGAUAAUCCCCGAUAAAUCUUACCAUUAUUUGAAUAUAAUUUAAUUAAUAAAAAUUUUUUAAUUAUUUAAUACAAAUGUUACAUCGUUGUUUUAAGUUUGUGCUUUAAGGUUAUGAUUAACUUCAUAAACAGACAAAAUUCCAUAUAUUAAAAAUAAAAUCUAAUUAAUAUAUUAAUUCUUUGAUUUAAGAUAAAGAAUUAUAUAAUGGAACUACAACAAAUCAUGAUGACUUUAAUAUAAUGGGCUAAAGACGCAAUACAAAAUAUUAUUAAUAAAAUUAAAUUAAAUACAAAUAUUUAAAUAAUUAAUUUAAAUUAAUAUAUUAAAUAUAUUUUAAUAAAUAUAUUUUAUGUGAAUUAAUUUCUGAAAUUCGUUAUUAUGAAAAAGGAAUUGCUAGUAAUCAUAAUUCAUUAAAUUAUGGUGAAAUUUAUCCCUGUUUCGUACUAAUUACUCAUCAUUCGCCAGAAAGUGUUAUAAUUUUAAAUGUAUUAUUUUUAUCUAUUAUUUACCUUUAUAAUAAUUUAUAUUUAUAUACUCUUUAAUUAUUCGCUGACUGGUGAGAAGUUGAAAUACAGUUACUGUAG